RNAcentral lists this ribosomal RNA (750 nucleotides) under uncultured archaeon. RNAcentral's name for it is "bacterial SSU rRNA". It matches the Rfam family "Archaeal small subunit ribosomal RNA", at positions 104 to 859 of the family's 1478-position model. The record is from RNAcentral.
ACAUCUGUCCUGAAGAAGAGAAUAAUCCCGGGAAACUGGGGGUAAUGCUCUAUAGUCCGGGAGGACUGGAAUGUUCUCCGGAUGAAAGAUCCGUCGCUUCAGGAUGAGUCUGCGGCCGAUUAGGUAGUUGUUGGGGUAAAAGCCCAACAAGCCUGUAAUCGGUACGGGUUGUGGGAGCAAGAGCCCGGAGAUGGAUUUUUGAGACACGAAUCCAGGCCUUACGGGGCGCAGCAGGCGCGAAAACUUUACAAUGCGGGCAACCGUGAUAAGGAAACCCCGAGUGCCAGCACAGGCUGGCUGUCCACCAGUGUAAACAACUGGUGAAGAAAGGGCCGGGCAAGACCGGUGCCAGCCGCCGCGGUAAUACCGGCGGCUCGAGUGGUGGCCGCUUUUACUGGGCUUAAAGGGUCCGUAGCUUGAUCCAUGGGUCCCUUGAGAAAUCCAUCAGCUUAACUGCUGGGCGUUCAGGGGAAACUGUGGUUCUAGGGACCGGGAGAGGUAAGAGGUACUGCCGGGGUAGGAGUGAAAUCCUGUAAUCCCGGUGGGACCACCUAUAGCGAAGGCAUCUUACCAGAACGGCUCCGACAGUGAGGGACGAAAGCUGGGGGAGCAAACCGGAUUAGAUACCCGGGUAGUCCCAGCUGUAAACGAUGCGCGUUAGGUGUGUCAGUGACCACGUGUCACUGAUGUGCCGAAGGGAAACCGUGAAACGCGCCGCCUGGGAAGUACGGUCGCAAGGCUGAAACUUAA